UACGGGGGGGGCAAGCGUUGUUCGGAAUUACUGGGCGUAAAGGGCGCGUAGGCGGCAUGCCAAGCGUGUGGUGAAAGCCCGGGGCUCAACCCCGGGUCGGCCGUGCGGACUGGCGUGCUCGAGCACUGUAGGGGCGGGUGGAAUUCCGGGUGUAGCGGUGGAAUGCGUAGAGAUCCGGAAGAACACCGGUGGCGAAGGCGGCCUGCUGGGCAGUUGCUGACACUGAUGCGCGACAGCGUGGGGAGCAAACAGG
This 253-nucleotide ribosomal RNA is filed under the name uncultured bacterium. RNAcentral describes it as "partial 16S ribosomal RNA". It matches the Rfam family "Bacterial small subunit ribosomal RNA", at positions 524 to 776 of the family's 1533-position model. The record is from RNAcentral.